This is a long non-coding RNA of Penaeus monodon (black tiger shrimp), 1021 nucleotides long. RefSeq lists it as uncharacterized. NCBI's taxonomy places the organism in Eukaryota, Metazoa, Arthropoda, Malacostraca, Decapoda, Penaeidae. The record is from RefSeq and is a predicted model, not a curated record. The transcript has 3 exons.
CGGCUGGCCAGGCCAAAGGAAGCGUAAACACUUCUCUUGCAGUAUAUUAUUGUUGGGAUGAGCGUCUCCACUUCUUCAAGCCAGACUCACCAGGAGGGAAGUGACACCACACUCAUAUUAUAGACUUUCAUGUGAUACAAAACACUGUCUGUGUAGCUACAAUUGCAUCACCCUCCGUUCCUUGGGUACUAUUAGCAGCAGUUGCCUAAAAUCCAGAUCAGGCAACUGAAGUGACUCCUCUGGAAGCUGAGCUUAACACUUGAUGAACUGGGUCGAGAUUGCCAUCGAGAGAGUUUACAUCACAGUCACAUCUUCUUAGAAUCCCCUAGGCCUGGUUCAAGCACCAGCAACUCUUCUGAAUCUCCAGUACCUCCUCCUAAUACAAGUGAAAGCAGAUCUUCUUUACCAGCCUCCAUAGGAAGAAAGAGAUGAAGGCUUAGUAAAUUUACAAAGGAGGACUACUAUUAUCAGAUGCUGUUGUAUCAGAAGCAACAUCACAAGGCUGCUAGACAGGAAAAUUAGGGAAGAGACAGAAGCCUGCCAAAGCUGGAGGGUUGCAAUUGCAGGAAUAAGAGACAUUUCCUCAUGUGCCCAGUGCUGUAUAUAUGUUCACAGAAUAAUAAUGAGUGAUUUACAUCAUGAAGUCCCUCACUAGUGAAUCUUAGAACAUUGUUUUCUUGCAAAGGUACUUCUCAGCCAUGCACUUAACCAUUUACCAUAGCACCAUACAAGAGAACAUAAAAAUUGUAUGAUAUAUUCUAGUUGUUCUGUGAUCUUUUGCAAUAGUCAAUAACUGCAGUGGCUACUGUGAAGAAAAGUCCUUAUGCUAAUCCUGUGAUUAUUACACAGUAAAACUGUUAUUUAUGUUUUGUAUCACAUAUAAAGUCUUAUGAAUGUUCUCAUACUGUUUAUAUUUUUAGUUUACUUUCAUAGUAUAUUUUUAUCACAUUUAUUGUAUUAUUACUUAAAAUAAUUUUAUUACAAAUAUGUAUUAUGCCUGUAGCAGUUUAAAUAUAUACUA